AGCUCCAAUAGCGUAUAUUUUAGUUGUUGCAGUUAAAAAGCUCGUAGCCGUAUUUCUGGUGGGAGAAUGCAGUCCGACUUUAUGUCGGUACUCGCAUCCUCCGGCCAUCCUUGGGUCUAGCCAGUUUGGCAUUAAGUUGUCGAGCUGGGGAUGCCCAUCGUUUACUGUGAAAAAAUUAGAGUGUUCAAAGCAGACUUAUGUCGUUGAAUAUAUUAGCAUGGAAUAAUAAAAUAGGACAGCAGUGCUAUUUUGGUGGUUUGCGCACCGAUGUAAUGAUAAAUAGGAACAGUUGUGGCUAUUCGUAUUCAUUUGUAAGAGGUGAAAUUCUUAGAUUAAAGGAAGACGAACUACUGCGAAAGCAUUUAGCAGGGAUGUUUUCA
RNAcentral lists this ribosomal RNA (380 nucleotides) under uncultured marine Chaetocerotaceae. RNAcentral's name for it is "SSU rRNA". It matches the Rfam family "Eukaryotic small subunit ribosomal RNA", at positions 587 to 972 of the family's 1831-position model. Lineage: Eukaryota; Bacillariophyta; Thalassiosirophyceae; Chaetocerotales; Chaetocerotaceae. The record is from RNAcentral.